UUAAUUACUUUAUAUAAUUUUACACUUUCGUGUAGUUAUAUAGUAUUAACAUAAUUCAUAUUACUAUUUUUAGUAUAUGAAAUUUUACUUUGAGAAAAUUAGAGUGCUUAAAGCAGGCUUUUGCCUUGAAUACUUCAGCAUGGAAUAAUAAUUAAAGAUUUUUAUCUUUCUUAUUGGUUCUAAGAUAAAAAUAAUGAUUAAUAGGGACAGUUGGGGGCAUUUGUAUUUAACAGUUAGAGGUGAAAUUCUUAGAUUUGUUAAAGACAAACUAGUGCGAAAGCAUUUGCCAAGGAUGUUUUCAUUAAUCAAGAACGAAAGUUAGGGGAUCGAAGACGAUCAGAUACCGUCGUAGUCUUAACCAUAAACUAUGCCAACUAGAGAUUGGAGGUUGUU
This 393-nucleotide ribosomal RNA is filed under the name Cryptosporidium parvum. RNAcentral describes it as "bacterial SSU rRNA". It matches the Rfam family "Eukaryotic small subunit ribosomal RNA", at positions 668 to 1064 of the family's 1831-position model. Lineage: Eukaryota; Apicomplexa; Conoidasida; Eucoccidiorida; Cryptosporidiidae. RNAcentral also lists the same sequence under 1 other name. The record is from RNAcentral.